AUUUAAAUAGUUUAUUAAAAACAUUAGUUUGUGGUACUAAAGAAAUAUAUUUAUAUUUUAGAUU
Molecule: transfer RNA, 64 nt
Filed under: Cleroidea sp. 6 KM-2017
Lineage: Eukaryota; Metazoa; Arthropoda; Insecta; Coleoptera
Description: tRNA-His
Source: RNAcentral